Vicia faba (fava bean) is the source of this 219-nucleotide non-coding RNA. The record is from the annotation of a GenBank genome assembly. Lineage: Eukaryota; Viridiplantae; Streptophyta; Magnoliopsida; Fabales; Fabaceae.
AUGUACACGAAUUCAGCUUAUCCUUUUCUUCACAAAGUCGCCGCGCGUAGCACCCACGUCUCAUCCGAUUGCGCACUCGCCAUUGUAACUCUGUCUUCUGAUUCAUUCGACUUAGGUCUUGAUGCCUCCCUUAUUUGGCUUCAGCUUCCACUUCAAGAGCUCAAACUUCACGAUUGUGCCCUUCACGUCUCCGCCACAAUUGAAGAAAUUUUGUUGUAG